RNAcentral lists this ribosomal RNA (484 nucleotides) under uncultured bacterium. RNAcentral's name for it is "partial 16S ribosomal RNA". It matches the Rfam family "Bacterial small subunit ribosomal RNA", at positions 30 to 507 of the family's 1533-position model. The record is from RNAcentral.
AUUGAACGCUGGCGGCAGGCCUAACACAUGCAAGUCGAGCGGAUGAAGGGAGCUUGCUCCUGGAUUCAGCGGCGGACGGGUGAGUAAUGCCUAGGAAUCUGCCUGGUAGUGGGGGAUAACGUCCGGAAACGGGCGCUAAUACCGCAUACGUCCUGAGGGAGAAAGUGGGGGAUCUUCGGACCUCACGCUAUCAGAUGAGCCUAGGUCGGAUUAGCUAGUUGGUGGGGUAAAGGCCUACCAAGGCGACGAUCCGUUACUGGUCUGAGAGGAUGAUCAGGCACACGGGAACUGAGACACGGUCCAGACUCCUACGGGAGGCAGCAGUGGGGAAUAUUGGACAAUGGGCGAAAGCCUGAUCCAGCCAUGCCGCGUGUGUGAAGAAGGUCUUCGGAUUGUAAAGCACUUUAAGUUGGGAGGAAGGGCAGUAAGUUAAUACCUUGCUGUUUUGACGUUACCAACAGAAUAAGCACCGGCUAACUUCGUG